RNAcentral lists this long non-coding RNA (256 nucleotides) under Erythranthe guttata (spotted monkey flower). Its description in RNAcentral is "long non-coding RNA (EGUT_LNC003273)". The record is from RNAcentral. Lineage: Eukaryota; Viridiplantae; Streptophyta; Magnoliopsida; Lamiales; Phrymaceae.
UGUUUCAUCGAUGAUUUAUUUUACGAAAAUUAUGAAAUUAAUUGUGCGUGUACAUGUUUCUGUUAGCUUCGUUUUGAUAUAUGGUAUGCAUAAAUCGGAAUUUUAUUGAUCAAGUUAUGAACGGUUUUCUGAAACUGCACGAUUUCUGAGUCAUCUAUGAAUUAUGUGUUAAAUUAGAUUUUAUCUUGUUCCGAUUCAUGCGAUUCCAACUGUAUAUGAUUAUAGACUUAUAAAUCUGAUUCUUCGUGAAAUUUCA